Molecule: ribosomal RNA, 468 nt
Filed under: uncultured bacterium
Lineage: Bacteria
Description: partial 16S ribosomal RNA
Rfam family: Bacterial small subunit ribosomal RNA
Source: RNAcentral
GACGAACGCUGGCGGCGUGCUUAACACAUGCAAGUCGAACGGAAAGGCCCUGCUUUUGUGGGGUGCUCGAGUGGCGAACGGGUGAGUAACACGUGAGUAACCUGCCCUUGACUUUGGGAUAACUUCAGGAAACUGGGGCUAAUACCGGAUAGGAGCUCCUGCUGCAUGGUGGGGGUUGGAAAGUUUCGGCGGAUGGGGAUGGACUCGCGGCUUAUCAGCUUGUUGGUGGGGUAGUGGCUUACCAAGGCUUUGACGGGUAGCCGGCCUGAGAGGGUGACCGGCCACAUUGGAACUGAGAUACGGCCCAGACUCCUACGGGAGGCAGCAGUGGGGAAUAUUGCACAAUGGGCGGAAGCCUGAUGCAGCAACGCCGCGUGCGGGAUGACGGCCUUCGGGUUGUAAACCGCUUUCGCCUGUGACGAAGCGUGAGUGACGGUAAUGGGUAAAGAAGCACCGGCUAACUACGUG